Molecule: ribosomal RNA, 461 nt
Filed under: uncultured marine bacterium pM9-28
Lineage: Bacteria; Bacillati; Cyanobacteriota
Description: bacterial SSU rRNA
Rfam family: Bacterial small subunit ribosomal RNA
Source: RNAcentral
AAAAAGUGGAGCUUAACUCCAUCAUGGCAGUGGAAACUGUUGGGCUUGAGUGUGGUAGGGGCAGAGGGAAUUCCCGGUGUAGCGGUGAAAUGCGUAGAUAUCGGGAAGAACACCAGUGGCGAAGGCGCUCUGCUGGGCCAUCACUGACGCUCAUGGACGAAAGCCAGGGGAGCGAAAGGGAUUAGAUACCCUUGUAGUCCUGCCGUAAACGAUGACCACUAGGAUCGGGGAAUGCACCUCCGGUGUCGUAGCCAACGCGUUAAGUGUUCCGCCUGGGGAGUACGCACGCAAGUGUGAAACUCAAAGGAAUUAACGGGGGCCGCACAAGCGGUGGAGUAUGUGGUUUAAUUCGAUGCAACGCGAAGAACCUUACCAGGGUUUGACAUCCUGGCAAUCUCUUGGAAACUUGAGAGUGCUUCGGGAGCGACGUGACAGGUGGUGCAUGGCUGUCGUCAGCUCGU